This is a non-coding RNA of Thamnophis sirtalis, 990 nucleotides long. The record is from RefSeq and is a predicted model, not a curated record. Lineage: Eukaryota; Metazoa; Chordata; Lepidosauria; Squamata; Natricidae.
UCAACCGCUUAGAGAGGGCUGUGAAGCACUGUGAAGUGGUAUAUGUCUUAAGUGCUAUUGCUAUCUCAAACGGAUCGCAAUAAUCCAGAAACUGGUCAGCAAAUCCAUGAUUUCUUAGCAUAACUUGAGGCCAAGCCUCUUCUCUGUCUUUUAACCAGACGGUUGUAGUGCUUUUCUCUCUCUUCCCAAGUCAAUCCUGUUCAGGCACAGUCUACAUUUUUGAUCCUCCGUACCUUUUUUAAGCCAGUCCUUUUCAUUUCUGGAAUGGAACGUUGGAGAACAAUAGAAGACGCUGAGACUUUGAUCUUCUGCUCUAAUAAAAAUCAGCCUUUUUUUCUUUCCACCCUCAGGCAUCUGAAGGAUAUGAUUUUGCUUACCGCCAUUGUCCAAGUGCUCAGUUGUUUUUCCCUCUAUAUGUGGUACUUUUGGCUCUUGGCUCCGGGGCGAGCGCUCUAUCUCCUUUGGGUUAACCUUCUGGGUCCUUGGCUCACCGCGGAAUCACCGGCUGCCAACCAAGAGCCCAACGAGAAGAAACAGCGCCGGCAAGAACGCCGGCAGAUGAAGCGGUUUUAAGCUGCGCUCCUGAGCGCAAAUGUCAGGCCACCUCGGGGCCUGCUGUUUUAUCAGGGAUUUGAACCAAUCGGAAAACAUCAGGGGAUUUUUGUUUUGCCCCCUCCUUUGCUCUUCCCCUGACACCUGUCCAUCCUAAGGCUACAUGCUUGCAAUGGGAGGAGUCCGGGUGGGGUGGGGUGGAGAGCCCCAGGCAAAUCGUUUCGCUGUUUUUUUUCCGCCUUAGGGCAGAGGGAGGGGGACCGUGGGGAGAGGGCUGCCGAUGUGUAAAUACCUUUCUCAAAUGAUGCUGUAAUAUGAAUCGGACGAUGAGGGUCUUUCAGUGUUGGAAGCCAGGACGCAUUAAAGAGACAGCCGCACGCACAAAACGUUUGCCCUGCGAGGGCUUGCAGUUUGCGUGGGUUUCCUUUGGUCUUUUCA